CCUACGGGCUGCAGCAGUGGGGAAUAUUGCACAAUGGGCGCAAGCCUGAUGCAGCCAUGCCGCGUGUAUGAAGAAGGCCUUCGGGUAGUAAAAUACUUUCAGCGGGGAGGAAGGUGUUGUGGUUAAUAACCACAGCAAUUGACGUUACCCGCAGAAGAAGCACCGGCUAACUCCGUGCCAGCAGCCGCGGUAAUACGGAGGGUGCAAGCGUUAAUCGGAAUUACUGGGCGUAAAGCGCACGCAGGCGGUUGAUUAAGUUAGAUGUGAAAUCCCCGGGCUUAACCUGGGAAUGGCAUCUAAGACUGGUCAGCUAGAGUCUUGUAGAGGGGGGGUAGAAUUCCAUGUGUAGCGGUGAAAUGCGUAGAGAUGUGGAGGAAUACCGGUGGCGAAGGCGGCCCCCUGGACAAAGACUGGCGCUCAGGUGCGAAAGCGUGGGGAGCAAACAGGAUUAGAUAC
Molecule: ribosomal RNA, 456 nt
Filed under: uncultured bacterium
Lineage: Bacteria
Description: bacterial SSU rRNA
Rfam family: Bacterial small subunit ribosomal RNA
Source: RNAcentral